This 1344-nucleotide ribosomal RNA is filed under the name Pseudarthrobacter phenanthrenivorans. RNAcentral's name for it is "bacterial SSU rRNA". It matches the Rfam family "Bacterial small subunit ribosomal RNA", at positions 80 to 1433 of the family's 1533-position model. The record is from RNAcentral. Lineage: Bacteria; Bacillati; Actinomycetota; Actinomycetes; Micrococcales; Micrococcaceae.
CUUGCUGGGGGAUUAGUGGCGAACGGGUGAGUAACACGUGAGUAACCUGCCCUUAACUCUGGGAUAAGCCUGGGAAACUGGGUCUAAUACCGGAUAUGACCUUCCAUCGCAUGGUGGUUGGUGGAAAGCUUUUUGUGGUUUUGGAUGGACUCGCGGCCUAUCAGCUUGUUGGUGAGGUAAUGGCUUACCAAGGCGACGACGGGUAGCCGGCCUGAGAGGGUGACCGGCCACACUGGGACUGAGACACGGCCCAGACUCCUACGGGAGGCAGCAGUGGGGAAUAUUGCACAAUGGGCGCAAGCCUGAUGCAGCGACGCCGCGUGAGGGAUGACGGCCUUCGGGUUGUAAACCUCUUUCAGUAGGGAAGAAGCCGCAAGGUGACGGUACCUGCAGAAGAAGCGCCGGCUAACUACGUGCCAGCAGCCGCGGUAAUACGUAGGGCGCAAGCGUUAUCCGGAAUUAUUGGGCGUAAAGAGCUCGUAGGCGGUUUGUCGCGUCUGCCGUGAAAGUCCGGGGCUCAACUCCGGAUCUGCGGUGGGUACGGGCAGACUAGAGUGAUGUAGGGGAGACUGGAAUUCCUGGUGUAGCGGUGAAAUGCGCAGAUAUCAGGAGGAACACCGAUGGCGAAGGCAGGUCUCUGGGCAUUAACUGACGCUGAGGAGCGAAAGCAUGGGGAGCGAACAGGAUUAGAUACCCUGGUAGUCCAUGCCGUAAACGUUGGGCACUAGGUGUGGGGGACAUUCCACGUUUUCCGCGCCGUAGCUAACGCAUUAAGUGCCCCGCCUGGGGAGUACGGCCGCAAGGCUAAAACUCAAAGGAAUUGACGGGGGCCCGCACAAGCGGCGGAGCAUGCGGAUUAAUUCGAUGCAACGCGAAGAACCUUACCAAGGCUUGACAUGAACUAGUAAGGCGCAGAAAUGCGUCCCCCACUUUGUGGCUGGUUUACAGGUGGUGCAUGGUUGUCGUCAGCUCGUGUCGUGAGAUGUUGGGUUAAGUCCCGCAACGAGCGCAACCCUCGUUCUAUGUUGCCAGCGCGUGAUGGCGGGGACUCAUAGGAGACUGCCGGGGUCAACUCGGAGGAAGGUGGGGACGACGUCAAAUCAUCAUGCCCCUUAUGUCUUGGGCUUCACGCAUGCUACAAUGGCCGGUACAAAGGGUUGCGAUACUGUGAGGUGGAGCUAAUCCCAAAAAGCCGGUCUCAGUUCGGAUUGGGGUCUGCAACUCGACCCCAUGAAGUCGGAGUCGCUAGUAAUCGCAGAUCAGCAACGCUGCGGUGAAUACGUUCCCGGGCCUUGUACACACCGCCCGUCAAGUCACGAAAGUUGGAACACCCGAAGCCGGUGG